UCCGUCCAGCGUCUGUUGGCUUCUUUGGCGGCUACCCCCUUUCUAAAACCAAAGUUUGGCUUUUAUAUUUAGUCUUCAAAUGGGCCCCACCGACUUUUCCAACUCUUAAGCCAAAGGCCAAGCCUUUUAAUUUGCUUUGGCUUCCCUCACGUGCACUCUUUAAUUUGGCUAAUAUUUCUCAUGUCCUUUAGCUAAUAAUUCAGCCAAUCAAUUUAAUUGUUUCUUCUUCUCCUUUCGACUUUAUCACCACGGCAGCGAGCAUCAACAAUCUUCAACUCUCUCUAGCUUUGAUCCCUUUAAGCACAAAUUAUUCCCAAAAUGCACCUAAAAUAACAAAAUAUAAAAAUUAACAUAAAAUUAACAUAAUAAAAUAUAAUUUACUAAAUUAAAAAUUAACUAAAAUAACUAGAAUAUUUAAGACCAAAACAAGAAAAAGAUAGAGAAAUUAAUAGCAAAAUAUAUGG
Molecule: long non-coding RNA, 464 nt
Filed under: Citrus maxima (pomelo)
Lineage: Eukaryota; Viridiplantae; Streptophyta; Magnoliopsida; Sapindales; Rutaceae
Description: long non-coding RNA (CMAX_LNC000596)
Source: RNAcentral